This 73-nucleotide transfer RNA is filed under the name Treponema sp. RNAcentral describes it as "tRNA-Pro". It matches the Rfam family "tRNA". Rfam says of the family: Transfer RNA (tRNA) molecules are approximately 80 nucleotides in length. Their secondary structure includes four short double-helical elements and three loops (D, anti-codon, and T loops). The record is from RNAcentral. Lineage: Bacteria; Pseudomonadati; Spirochaetota; Spirochaetia; Treponematales; Treponemataceae.
CGGGCCGUAGGAUAGUGGCUAAUCCGUCUGCUUCGGGAGUAGAAGAUCGGCGGUUCAAAUCCGCCCGGCCCGA